Molecule: ribosomal RNA, 253 nt
Filed under: uncultured bacterium
Lineage: Bacteria
Description: partial 16S ribosomal RNA
Rfam family: Bacterial small subunit ribosomal RNA
Source: RNAcentral
UACGUAGGGUGCGAGCGUUGUCCGGAUUUAUUGGGCGUAAAGAGCUUGUAGGCGGCUCGUCGCGUCGGGUGUGAAAACUUGCGGCUUAACCGCAAGCCUGCACCCGAUACGGGCGGGCUAGAGUUCGGCAGGGGAGACUGGAAUUCCUGGUGUAGCGGUGGAAUGCGCAGAUAUCAGGAGGAACACCGAUGGCGAAGGCAGGUCUCUGGGCUGACACUGACGCUCAUGCACGAAAGCGUGGGGAGCAAACAGG